This 666-nucleotide unclassified non-coding RNA is filed under the name Hevea brasiliensis (rubber tree). The record is from RNAcentral. Lineage: Eukaryota; Viridiplantae; Streptophyta; Magnoliopsida; Malpighiales; Euphorbiaceae.
CCAACCGCAACAUCCUCCAAGAUUUUUGCCAACCUUGGAUUCACAGAUGGAUCAGGAACAACAGUUGGGUUGGUUCUCAAACCCUUCACAGUACCAGGAGGCCCAGCUUUCUGCUGUUUACCCAAAACCAAAACCUGCUUCUGUGCAUGAUCUUGUCCUUGUUCAGCCAGCCGCAGCUGUUCACUUAGCUCCCUUACUUGCUUCUUCAAUUCAGCAUUUUUCUUUGAUAGAGAGAUAAUAUCUGAUUUAAGCAUUUUGAUUCGUUCCCCAGAUUCACAUGAAGGCGAGCCAAUCUGGACGUUGGACGUAGCAAUUCGAUGAUUCGGGGUAGCCGAAUCAGAGCUAAAGAAUCCAUGAGGAAACCAAAAAGCAAAGACGCACCCCAGAAGAACUCCGAUCACAAUGGCUAUUGCGAUUCGAGAUCCGCGAAGUGAUUGGCCCUUUUCUUUACGACCCAGACUCGCCAUGGCUUUUCUCUAUCUGAGUCUAUGACGCACUAGCGAAGAGAAGCUUGCUUUUAUUGCAUCAAUGGAUUGACCUGUUUGAAAAUUCAAAGUUAAUUCCUCAACACAAACUACAUUCUACAUAAUCUAUCCUUCUUUUUUCGGUUCUAUGUGGAAAAUUAGAGCAUAGUUUUUCUACGAAUCCAAACAAGACCCAAAACAC